Molecule: ribosomal RNA, 492 nt
Filed under: uncultured bacterium
Lineage: Bacteria
Description: partial 16S ribosomal RNA
Rfam family: Bacterial small subunit ribosomal RNA
Source: RNAcentral
AGUGAACGCUGGCGGUAGGCCUAACACAUGCAAGUCGAACGGCAGCACAGUAAGAGCUUGCUCUUACGGGUGGCGAGUGGCGGACGGGUGAGGAAUACAUCGGAAUCUACUUUUUCGUGGGGGAUAACGUAGGGAAACUUACGCUAAUACCGCAUACGACCUACGGGUGAAAGCAGGGGAUCUUCGGACCUUGCGCGAUUGAAUGAGCCGAUGUCGGAUUAGCUAGUUGGCGGGGUAAAGGCCCACCAAGGCGACGAUCCGUAGCUGGUCUGAGAGGAUGAUCAGCCACACCGGAACUGAAACACGGUCCAGACCCCUACGGGAGGCAGCGGUGGGGAAUAUUAGACAAUGGGCGGAAGCCUGAUCCAACCCUACCGCGUGGGUGAAGGAAGCCUUCGGGUUGUAAAGCCCUUUUGUUGGGAAAGAAAAGCAGCAGGUUAAAACCCCGCUGUUCUGACGGUACCCAAAGAAUAAGCACCGGCUAACUUCGUG